GAUUGAGGACGAAAAGAGCCAAACCCAAGCAUCGCAAGACCUUGUGGUCUUAGUUGACACAUGAUCUCCAAAGUCCUGAAA
This is a small nucleolar RNA of Ochotona curzoniae (black-lipped pika), 81 nucleotides long. RefSeq annotates it as small nucleolar RNA U2-19. NCBI's taxonomy places the organism in Eukaryota, Metazoa, Chordata, Mammalia, Lagomorpha, Ochotonidae. The record is from RefSeq and is a predicted model, not a curated record. The transcript has a single exon.